UGAAAUGCGAUACGUAAUGUGAAUUGCAGAAUCUCGUGAAUCAUUGAAUCUUUGAACGCACAUUGCGCCUUAUGGUAUUCCAUAAGGCAUGCCUGUCUGAGCGUCAGCUCCCACCCACUCAAGCUCUUUUGCUUGGAUUAUUUUGGACGAGCAGUCAUCUUUUGAUUGCUGCCCAUAAAUUCAUAGGCAGUAUGGUACCCCACUCCAAGCUGAGCGUAAUAAUUAAAAACAAUCACGCCCAUAUUGAAGUGAGGAUCGUACUCGCCCUUAACCCACAAAUUUCAUUAUUAUUUUCGGGUGACCUCAGAUCAGGUAGGGAUACCCGCUGAACUUAA
This 335-nucleotide unclassified non-coding RNA is filed under the name uncultured Pezizaceae. RNAcentral's name for it is "sequence contains ITS1". The stretch from base 1 to 106 matches the Rfam family "5.8S ribosomal RNA", at positions 49 to 154 of the family's 154-position model. The record is from RNAcentral. Lineage: Eukaryota; Fungi; Ascomycota; Pezizomycetes; Pezizales; Pezizaceae.